This 301-nucleotide ribosomal RNA is filed under the name uncultured bacterium. RNAcentral describes it as "partial 16S ribosomal RNA". It matches the Rfam family "Bacterial small subunit ribosomal RNA", at positions 509 to 807 of the family's 1533-position model. The record is from RNAcentral.
CAGUCGCCGCGGGAAUACGUAGGUGGCAAGCGUUGUCCGGAAUUAUUGGGCGUAAGGGGCUCGCAGGCGGUUUCUUAAGUCUGAUGUGAAAGCCCCCGGCUCAACCGGGGAGGGUCAUUGGAAACUGGGAAACUUGAGUGCAGAAGAGGAGAGUGGAAUUCCACGUGUAGCGGUGAAAUGCGUAGAGAUGUGGAGGAACACCAGUGGCGAAGGCGACUCUCUGGUCUGUAACUGACGCUGAGGAGCGAAAGCGUGGGGAGCGAACAGGAUUAGAUACCCGCGUAGUCCCUGUCUCUUAUAC